RNAcentral lists this ribosomal RNA (484 nucleotides) under uncultured bacterium. RNAcentral's name for it is "partial 16S ribosomal RNA". It matches the Rfam family "Bacterial small subunit ribosomal RNA", at positions 30 to 507 of the family's 1533-position model. The record is from RNAcentral.
AUUGAACGCUGGCGGCAGGCCUAACACAUGCCAGUCGAGCGGAUGAAGGGAGCUUGCUCCUGGAUUCAGCGGCGGACGGGUGAGUAAGGCCUAGGAAUCUGCCUGGUAGUGGGGGAUAACGUCCGGAAACGGGCGCGAAUACCGCACACGUCCUGAGGGAGAAAGUGGGGGAUCUUCGGACCUCACGCUAUCAGAUGAGCCUAGGUCGGAUUAGCUAGUUGGUGGGGUAAAGGCGUACCAAGGCGACGAUCCGUAACUGGUCUGAGAGGAUGAGCAGCCACCCUGGACCUGAGCCACGGUCCAGACUCCUACGGGAGGCAGCAGUGGGGAAUAUUCGACAAUGGGCGAAAGCCUGAUCCAGCCAUGCCGCGUGUGUGAAGAAGGUCUUCGGAUUGUAAAGCCCUUUAAGUUGGGAGGAAGGGCAGUAAGUUAAUACCUUGCUGUUUUGACGUUACCAACCGAAUAAGCACCGGCUAACUUCGUG